CACGUAGGGUGCGAGCGUUGUCCGGAAUUAUUGGGCGUAAAGAGCUCGUAGGCGGUGUGUCGCGUCGGCCGUGAAAACCUGCAGCUUAACUGUGGGCGUGCGGUCGAUACGGGCAUCACUGGAGUUCGGUAGGGGAGACUGGAAUUCCUGGUGUAGCGGUGAAAUGCGCAGAUAUCAGGAGGAACACCGGUGGCGAAGGCGGGUCUCUGGGCCGAUACUGACGCUGAGGAGCGAAAGCGUGGGGAGCGAACAGG
This 254-nucleotide ribosomal RNA is filed under the name uncultured bacterium. RNAcentral's name for it is "partial 16S ribosomal RNA". It matches the Rfam family "Bacterial small subunit ribosomal RNA", at positions 524 to 776 of the family's 1533-position model. The record is from RNAcentral.